This 253-nucleotide ribosomal RNA is filed under the name uncultured bacterium. RNAcentral describes it as "partial 16S ribosomal RNA". It matches the Rfam family "Bacterial small subunit ribosomal RNA", at positions 524 to 776 of the family's 1533-position model. The record is from RNAcentral.
UACGAGGGGGGCAAGCGUUGUUCGGAAUUACUGGGCGUAAAGCGCACGUAGGCGGCUUUGCAAGUUAGAGGUGAAAGCCCGGGGCUCAACUCCGGAAUUGCCUUUAAAACUGCAUCGCUAGAAUUGUGGAGAGGUAAGUGGAAUUCCGAGUGUAGAGGUGAAAUUCGUAGAUAUUCGGAAGAACACCAGUGGCGAAGGCGACUUACUGGACACAUAUUGACGCUGAGGUGCGAAAGCGUGGGGAGCAAACAGG